Molecule: long non-coding RNA, 532 nt
Filed under: Homo sapiens (human)
Lineage: Eukaryota; Metazoa; Chordata; Mammalia; Primates; Hominidae
Description: HSALNT0042516
Source: RNAcentral
GAACAGGGAGAGCUACUCUUCCCUGGAGCUGCAGAGGACAACUUGUUCCACCCACGCUGCCCUGCCCCGAUCUCACAGAGUUAUGACCGCCUCGUUGCAGUCCGUUCCUAAGUUAGCUUCUCCUUUGCUGGGGUCUGAAGCCCAGACCACUCACUCUGGGAGAAAGCAACUGGCUAUGUCAUGAGGAAAUUGAAACCACCUAUGGAGAAAGGCCCACAUGGUGAGAAAGUAAAGCCUCUUCCCAAUACCAAAAUUCUGUAAGUCUGCUACGGUGACAUUUCUGGUUAGGAGUCAGAGUGGAUGGGACACUGAGCAAUAAGAAUGCAGAGACAUGAUGGCUGAAGCUGGAGCUUUUCCCUGAAGCAACCACCUGUUGGAAACUUCAUGUUGAAGAUGACUGAAUAAUAAGACAGAGGGGUCUGGGUCCCUGGUGGAUAUUCCAGAUCUGGGUGUUCGUGGAGAUAUGAGAAAGCAAUAAACUUCAAUUUUGCUUAAAUAGCUGUUACUUGGGGCAUUCUGUCAUUUAUGGACA